CCCAAUCCAAAACCAUGACCCAAAUCCUACCUCCAGAAUUCACAUGUGCAUCGUCGUCUACCGAAUCAAAGCUCAAGUGAGGCACAGAAGACACAGUAGAGAGUCUACUGUAGAGAGAAAAACGACGAAAUGGGAAGGAAGAAGGGAGUAGCAGAGUUCGAGGAAUCGCCGCCCGAUGACUUCGAUCCGUCGAACCCAUACAAGGAUCCAGUGGCGAUGCUUGAGAUGAGGGAGCACGUCGUCAGGGAGAAGUGGAUCGAUAUAGAGAAGGCCAAGAUCUUGAGGGAGAAGCUAAAAUGGUGCUAUCGCAUAGAAGGCGUCAACCACCUCCAGAAGUGCCGCCACCUCGUUCGUCAAUAUCUCGACUCCACUCGCGGCAUUGGCUGGGGCAAGGACCAGCGUCCUCCCUCUUUACAUGGUCCUAAGGUGGAGGCACUUACGUCUGAGUGAAUGGUUAUAUUGAGGUGACUAAAGUUAGAAGAAGAUAUGCUCUGGAAUUGUGGGGAAGGCAAUGGUUUGCUGUGAUUGUGUUUGCUUAAUCUGGAUUCUUAUCAUCCACAGUUUUUACUCAUCUUUCCUGCAAUGUACAGAGGCCAGAAAUUGCUCUCUGGAUCUUAUAAUCCUUUUCCUUUUGACAUCAAAAUAACAUCAUUGACGUGGACAGGGACAAGGAAUGAAAGUGACCCAGAUAAUGAAAUAAAAAUUUUCCUAUAUCAUUCUUGCUUUUGUUUAAUUCUGAUGGAUUAUGCCCCAAUUUAAUGAUUUGGGAUUGGAGAAGGACACAUUGGAAUUUUUCUACAAUUUGGAGUUGGAGGGUCCCUGGUAAGAUUCCAAGCUUUUACAUCCAUUCUUGUUUGCUUAUUAACAUUUGAUUUGAAAAUUUAGUUAAAUUGGUUGUAAUGUCAUUUGUGGAUAUGAAAUCAUGGGCGGCGGUUUGAGCGGUGGCGGUCUUAAGAAUUGGCUCAGUUGUUAUUGUCCUUUGUGUCUUCUUCUCUUCUUCUGGCUUUAGUUUUGACCUCUUCUUAAACAGGGUAAUUGGGUUUUGGUUUGGGUGUGAGAAUUUGAAAUUAUUAAGCCUCCUAAUGCCCACCUUAAUUUGAGGAUUUUGAGUUAACUAAUUUGGCUGGAAAAAAAAAUUUUAGUAGAAAAUAUA
RNAcentral lists this unclassified non-coding RNA (1153 nucleotides) under Hevea brasiliensis (rubber tree). Lineage: Eukaryota; Viridiplantae; Streptophyta; Magnoliopsida; Malpighiales; Euphorbiaceae. The record is from RNAcentral.